This 253-nucleotide ribosomal RNA is filed under the name uncultured bacterium. RNAcentral describes it as "partial 16S ribosomal RNA". It matches the Rfam family "Bacterial small subunit ribosomal RNA", at positions 524 to 776 of the family's 1533-position model. The record is from RNAcentral.
UACGAAGGGGGCUAGCGUUGUUCGGAAUUACUGGGCGUAAAGCGCGCGCAGGCGGUCUUCCAAGUCGGUGGUGAAAGCCCGGAGCUCAACUCCGGAACUGCCAUUGAAACUGUUAGACUUGAGGACGAGAGAGGUGAGUGGAAUUCCCAGUGUAGAGGUGAAAUUCGUAGAUAUUGGGAAGAACACCGGUGGCGAAGGCGGCUCACUGGCUCGUUACUGACGCUCAGGCGCGACAGCGUGGGGAUCAAACAGG